Molecule: ribosomal RNA, 444 nt
Filed under: uncultured bacterium
Lineage: Bacteria
Description: partial 16S ribosomal RNA
Rfam family: Bacterial small subunit ribosomal RNA
Source: RNAcentral
AGAGUUUGAUCCUGGCUCAGAACGAACGCUGGCGGCAGGCCUAACACAUGCAAGUCGAGCGAGGGGGCGACCCCUAGCGGCGGACGGGUGAGUAACGCGUGGGAACGUGCCCCCCGGUUCGGAAUAGCCCCGGGAAACUGGGAGUAAUACCGGAUACGCUCUGCGGAGGAAAGAACUUCGCCGGGGGAUCGGCCCGCGUUGGAUUAGGUAGUUGGUGGGGUAACGGCCUACCAAGCCGACGAUCCAUAGCUGGUUGGUGAGAGGAUGAUCAGCCACACUGGGACUGAGACACGGCCCAGACUCCUACGGGAGGCAGCAGUGGGGAAUCUUAGACAAUGGGCGCAAGCCUGAUCUAGCCAUGCCGCGUGAGCGAUGAAGGCCUUAGGGUUGUAAAGCUCUUUCGGGGGGGGAGAUAAUGACGGUACCCCCAGAAGAGCCCCGAUC